UACGUAGGUGGCAAGCGUUGUUCGGAAUUAUUGGGCGUAAAGGGCGCGUAGGCGGUUUGUUAAGUCGGUUGUGAAAGCCCGGGGCUCAACCCCGGAGGGUCGACCGAUACUGGCAAACUAGAGUACAGAAGAGGUAGCUGGAAUUCCCGGUGUAGCGGUGAAAUGCGCAGAUAUCUGGAGGAACACCGGUGGCGAAGGCGGCCCCCUGGUUGGAUACUGACGCUGAGACGCGAAAGCCAGGGGAGCAAACGGG
Molecule: ribosomal RNA, 253 nt
Filed under: uncultured bacterium
Lineage: Bacteria
Description: partial 16S ribosomal RNA
Rfam family: Bacterial small subunit ribosomal RNA
Source: RNAcentral